RNAcentral lists this ribosomal RNA (433 nucleotides) under uncultured bacterium. RNAcentral describes it as "partial 16S ribosomal RNA". It matches the Rfam family "Bacterial small subunit ribosomal RNA", at positions 29 to 507 of the family's 1533-position model. The record is from RNAcentral.
AACGAACGCUGGCGGCCUGCCUAACAAAUGCAAGUUGAACGCGACCUUCAGGUGCCGUGGCGUACGGGUGCGUAAACCGUGGUGUCCUGCCCUUUGGCUCCGAAUAACUCCCCGCCAGGGGUGCUAAUCCCGGCUAAUGUCCUCGGACCAAAGAUUUAUCGCCUUUGGAUGGGCCCGCGUUGGAUUAGCUAGUUGCUAGGGUAAAAGCCUACCAAGGCGACGAUCCAUAGCUGGUCUGAGAGGAUGAUCAGCCACACUGGGACUGAGACACGGCCCAAACUCCGACGGGAGGCAGCAGUUGGGAAUAUUGGACAAUAGGCGAUAGCCUUGUCCAGCAAGGCCGCGUGAGUGAUGAAGGCCUUAGAGUUGUAAAGCUCGUUUACCCGUGAUGAUUAGGACAGUACCGAGUGAAUAAGCCCGCGCUAACUCCGUG